Molecule: long non-coding RNA, 509 nt
Organism: Carassius carassius (crucian carp)
Lineage: Eukaryota; Metazoa; Chordata; Actinopteri; Cypriniformes; Cyprinidae
Exons: 3
Source: RefSeq, a predicted model, not a curated record
CCAAAACCUUUUCUCAAGAGAGAUAUUUUCUUCCACUCGCGAUGGGGAGUAGACGGGGAAUUAGUUUUUUAUCAAAGGAAAACACCAUAAGUAAGUGAUUUACCUCGUUUACAUGUAUUUUAUAAGAUGAUAUUACUUUAUGGUGAUAUUUAAAUGCUCUGCGCGCCUAAACGAGCCUAACGGUUCCUCACAGAUUUGAACUGCUGUUCAGAAGACCAUGAUGGUGCAGACGCGGAAAAGUCCAGAAAGAGAUAUUUUCUUUCACUCACAAAGCGGAGCAGACGGGGAAGUUGGUUUUAACAAGGAAAACACGGAAAAUGGAAACUGCAGAGAACCACAUCCUGUCUUCCUGAAAAAAAGAAAGAGACUACUUUCUCCAAGGAGGUCCAAACGCCAUUGGCACAGACUUUGUUCAGUGAUCAGUAACAUACAUUCAGCCAGGGCCGUCCUUAAGGGGGUGCAACUGAUGCGGUCGCACCGGUCCACACUUGAGGGGUAAACGGACUGAA